AUACAGAGGGUGCAAGCGUUAAUCGGAAUUACUGGGCGUAAAGCGCGCGUAGGCGGUUUGUUAAGUUGGAUGUGAAAGCCCCGGGCUUAACCUGGGAGGGUCAUUCAAAACUGGCAGACUAGAGUGUGGUAGAGGGUAGUGGAAUUCCUAGUGUAGCGGUGAAAUGCGUAGAGAUUAGGAGGAACACCAGUGGCGAAGGCGACUGCCUGGACCAACACUGACGCUGAGGUGCGAAAGCGUGGGUAGCGAACAGGAUUAGAUACCCUAGUAGUCC
This 274-nucleotide ribosomal RNA is filed under the name uncultured bacterium. RNAcentral's name for it is "partial 16S ribosomal RNA". It matches the Rfam family "Bacterial small subunit ribosomal RNA", at positions 523 to 796 of the family's 1533-position model. The record is from RNAcentral.